Molecule: transfer RNA, 62 nt
Organism: Neotoma lepida (desert woodrat)
Lineage: Eukaryota; Metazoa; Chordata; Mammalia; Rodentia; Cricetidae
Rfam family: tRNA
About the family: Transfer RNA (tRNA) molecules are approximately 80 nucleotides in length. Their secondary structure includes four short double-helical elements and three loops (D, anti-codon, and T loops). Further hydrogen bonds mediate the characteristic L-shaped molecular structure. tRNAs have two regions of fundamental functional importance: the anti-codon, which is responsible for specific mRNA codon recognition, and the 3' end, to which the tRNAs corresponding amino acid is attached (by aminoacyl-tRNA synthetases). tRNAs cope with the degeneracy of the genetic code in two manners: having more than one tRNA (with a specific anti-codon) for a particular amino acid; and 'wobble' base-pairing, i.e. permitting non-standard base-pairing at the 3rd anti-codon position.
Source: Rfam
UGUAGCUCAGCUGGUAGAGUGUUUGCCUAGCAUUCACAAAGCUCUGGGUUCAAUUCCCAGCA